Molecule: ribosomal RNA, 449 nt
Filed under: uncultured bacterium
Lineage: Bacteria
Description: partial 16S ribosomal RNA
Rfam family: Bacterial small subunit ribosomal RNA
Source: RNAcentral
AACGAACGCUGGCGGCAGGCCUAACACAUGCAAGUCGAGCGAGGACUUCGGUCCUAGCGGCGGACGGGUGAGUAACGCGUGGGAACGUGCCCCUUGGUACGGAAUAGCCCCGGGAAACUGGGAGUAAUACCGUAUGAGCUCUACGGAGGAAAGAUUUAUCGCCAAGGGAUCGGCCCGCGUUGGAUUAGGUAGUUGGUGGGGUAAUGGCCUACCAAGCCGACGAUCCAUAGCUGGUUUGAGAGGAUGAUCGGCCACACUGGGACUGAGACACGGCCCAGACUCCUACGGGAGGCAGCAGUGGGGAAUCUUAGACAAUGGGCGCAAGCCUGAUCUAGCCAUGCCGCGUGAGCGAUGAAGGCCUUAGGGUUGUAAAGCUCUUUCAGCUGGGAAGAUAAUGACUGUACCAGCAGAAGAAGCCCCGGCUAACUCCGUGCCAGCCGCCGCGGUAC